Long non-coding RNA from Ostrea edulis (European flat oyster), 692 nucleotides. RefSeq lists it as uncharacterized. The record is from RefSeq and is a predicted model, not a curated record. The transcript has 2 exons. NCBI's taxonomy places the organism in Eukaryota, Metazoa, Mollusca, Bivalvia, Ostreida, Ostreidae.
GAUGAAUAUACGGGUGGUACCGUGGUCAUUCGCGAAACAUAUGCACCACUAAUGAAAGUAGGAGUUCCUGGGUAAAGUUUUGUGAUUUUAAAACUCAAUUUUCUCUGGAGUUUUUGAGAUUUCACAUUUGAUUUAUACCAUUUCUUGCAUUUGUUUUGGCACAACAAUAUGCCUGAAGUUCCUCCCUCAAAUUAAUGUAAGACAUAUUCACUGUCAUGAUCGUGUGCAGGAUUGGACAAAACAAGAUGGCAGACUGCAUUUCCAAACAAAGGUAUCAAGCCCUAGAACUUCAUUCCAUGAGAUGGGUACACUUCGAAUGUGCGAAAUUUGUGGUGAGGAAUUCAAGACCAAUUUUGAAUUGCGUAGGCAUGUAAAAAGGAAACAUCAAUCAGAGAAAUUGUCUUCGUUUGUGACCAGUGCAACACAGGCUUUUGCAAAUUAUAAAAGAAACAUGAAGUAAAAAAAAAAAUACAUUGUUUUCUGAAUACACGAGGUGCAUACAUAUACCAUGGCAGCCGUUUUAUAUAUUCGUUUAUAUGUACAAUAUGAAACGAUUAUUUUUACGGUAUUAUGCUUUGUUUUACAGAGAUACUACUGAUCUUUUACAUUGCAUUUUACACAUGUUGAUUUGUCAUUUCAUUGAACCAGAAGUGUUCUUAAUUUUUACUUGUUAUUAAAUAUAUUUCAAUGUU